AACGAACGCUGGCGGCAUGCCUAACACAUGCAAGUCGAACGAGACCUUCGGGUCUAGUGGCGCACGGGUGCGUAACGCGUGGGAACCUGCCCUUAGGUUCGGAAUAACUCCCCGAAAGGGGUGCUAAUACCGGUUAAUGUCUUCGGACCAAAGAUUUAUCGCUUUUGGAUGGGCCCGCGUUGGUUUCGCCAGUUGGUAGGGUAAAAGCCUACCAAGGCGACGUUCCAUAGCUGGUCUGGGACGAUGAUCAGCCACACUGGAGCUGAGACACGGCCCAGACUCCUACGGGAGGCAGCAGUGGGUAAUAUUGGACAAUGAGCGAUAGCCUAAUAAAGCAAUGCCGCGUGAGUGAUGAAGGCCUUAGGGUUGUAAAGCUCUUUUACCCGGGAUGAUAAUGACAGUACCGGGAGAAUAAGCUCCGGCUAACUCCGUG
This 433-nucleotide ribosomal RNA is filed under the name uncultured bacterium. RNAcentral describes it as "partial 16S ribosomal RNA". It matches the Rfam family "Bacterial small subunit ribosomal RNA", at positions 29 to 507 of the family's 1533-position model. The record is from RNAcentral.